Molecule: ribosomal RNA, 773 nt
Filed under: Salmonella enterica subsp. enterica serovar Infantis
Lineage: Bacteria; Pseudomonadati; Pseudomonadota; Gammaproteobacteria; Enterobacterales; Enterobacteriaceae
Description: partial 23S ribosomal RNA
Rfam family: Bacterial large subunit ribosomal RNA
Source: RNAcentral
AGACCCGAAACCCGGUGAUCUAGCCAUGGGCAGGUUGAAGGUUGGGUAACACUAACUGGAGGACCGAACCGACUAAUGUUGAAAAAUUAGCGGAUGACCUGUGGCUGGGGGUGAAAGGCCAAUCAAACCGGGAGAUAGCUGGUUCUCCCCGAAAGCUAUUUAGGUAGCGCCUCGUGAAUUCAUCUCCGGGGGUAGAGCACUGUUUCGGCUAGGGGGCCAUCCCGGCUUACCAACCCGAUGCAAACUGCGAAUACCGGAGAAUGUUAUCACGGGAGACACACGGCGGGUGCUAACGUCCGUCGUGAAGAGGGAAACAACCCAGACCGCCAGCUAAGGUCCCAAAGUCAUGGUUAAGUGGGAAACGAUGUGGGAAGGCCCAGACAGCCAGGAUGUUGGCUUAGAAGCAGCCAUCAUUUAAAGAAAGCGUAAUAGCUCACUGGUCGAGUCGGCCUGCGCGGAAGAUGUAACGGGGCUAAACCAUGCACCGAAGCUGCGGCAGCGAACGUAUCACUUAAAGCGAUUCAGCGGGUUACGAUUGACGGAGCGAAGCGACGUCAAAGCGUAUACAAAGUCGAGUCGGUUUAAGGAUACGUUCGUUGGGUAGGGGAGCGUUCUGUAAGCCUGUGAAGGUGUGUCGUGAGGCAUGCUGGAGGUAUCAGAAGUGCGAAUGCUGACAUAAGUAACGAUAAAGCGGGUGAAAAGCCCGCUCGCCGGAAGACCAAGGGUUCCUGUCCAACGUUAAUCGGGGCAGGGUGAGUCGACCCCUAAGGCGA